CCUACGGGUGGCAGCAGUAGGGAAUAUUGCUCAAUGGGGGAAACCCUGAAGCAGCAACGCCGCGUGGAGGAUGAAGGUUUUCGGAUUGUAAACUCCUUUUGUUAGAGAAGAUAAUGACGGUAUCUAACGAAUAAGCACCGGCUAACUCCGUGCCAGCAGCCGCGGUAAUACGGAGGGUGCAAGCGUUACUCGGAAUCACUGGGCGUAAAGAGCGCGUAGGCGGGAAAGCAAGUCAGAUGUGAAAGCCUGUGGCUUAACCAUAGAACUGCAUUUGAAACUGUUAUGCUAGAGUGUGGGAGAGGUAGGGGGAAUUCCUGGUGUAGGGGUAAAAUCCGUAGAUAUCAAGAGGAAUACUCAUUGCGAAGGCGACCUGCUAGAACAUAACUGACGCUGAUGCGCGAAAGCGUGGGUAGCAAACAGGAUUAGAUACCCGGGUAGUC
RNAcentral lists this ribosomal RNA (440 nucleotides) under uncultured bacterium. RNAcentral describes it as "partial 16S ribosomal RNA". It matches the Rfam family "Bacterial small subunit ribosomal RNA", at positions 338 to 795 of the family's 1533-position model. The record is from RNAcentral.